RNAcentral lists this ribosomal RNA (253 nucleotides) under uncultured prokaryote. RNAcentral's name for it is "partial 16S ribosomal RNA". It matches the Rfam family "Bacterial small subunit ribosomal RNA", at positions 524 to 776 of the family's 1533-position model. The record is from RNAcentral.
UACGGGGGGGGCUAGCGUUGUUCGGAAUUACUGGGCGUAAAGGGCUCGUAGGCGGCCAACUAAGUCAGACGUGAAAUCCCUCGGCUUAACCGAGGAACUGCGUCUGAUACUGGAUGGCUGGAAUCUGGGAGAGGGAUGCGGAAUUCCAGGUGUAGCGGUGAAAUGCUUAGAUAUCGUCCAGAACACCGAUAGCGAAGGCAGCUUACUAAGGAGUAACUGACGCUGAGGCACGAAAGUGUGGGGAUCAAACAGG